Molecule: long non-coding RNA, 6301 nt
Filed under: Sus scrofa (pig)
Lineage: Eukaryota; Metazoa; Chordata; Mammalia; Artiodactyla; Suidae
Description: lncRNA (ENSSSCG00040019333.1)
Source: RNAcentral
UUUUUUUUUUUGUCUUUUGCUAUUUCUUGGGCCGCUCCCGCGGCAUAUGGAGGUUCCCAGGCUAGGGGUUGAAUCGGAGCUGUAGCCACCGGCCUACGCCAGAGCCACAGCAACGCGGGAUCCGAGCCGCGUCUGCAACCUACACCACAGCUCACGGCAACGCCGGAUCGUUAACCCACUGAGCAAGGGCAGGGACCGAACCCGCAACCUCAUGGUUCCCAGUCGGAUUCGUUAACCACUGCGCCACAACGGGAACUCCCCAAAGGGUCAUUUUAAAUAAAUGCAUAUUGUGAUAAUCAUUUGGACCUACCAAAAUAGUUUUCAUCAUUGCAUUAUUCUUUAGUGUUUAGGUAUUUUUUUAAUGUUUCAAUAUUAUGAAUCCUUCUGUAAUUAAAACACUUCAUGUAAUUAUUUGUGUACCUCUCUGAUGACUUGAGAAAAAUUCCUUGAGGUGGCAUUAGUGGAGCAAAAGAUGCAAAUCUUAAUGCAUAUCAUCUAAUUCCUUCUAAAAAGAUUGAAGAAUUUUACAUUACCACCACAAGGGUAAACUUCCAUUGCCUGAACCCCUGCUCAUACUAGAUAUCACUGUUUAGCAUUGUCAAUCUGGUAAAUCAAAAUAGCAUCCCACAGUUGAUUCAUCUGCAUUUCUUUAUUAGAAAGGCUGAACUUCUUGUGAAAUUUUACCAUAGUAAUAGACUACUGGACUUUGAAUUUAAACUAUAAUGUAGCUUUGCCUAUAACUGAAUUGUGAGCAACACUGCUAUUUAUAAUUUAUUAUUGCCUCAAGCCACACAGGGUAAGACAUGCUCUGCUUAAAUUAUGUACAGUACUUUUAUUAAAGUUACAUUUCAUAAAAUCUCCCAAACCAAAUCAGAGUAAAUGUCUUCUGUCCUCCCUUCUUAUUACUUUCUGGUUUAUACAGACAUGAAGAAAAUUAUACUUAAGAGUCUUUUACCUAUGAGGUAUGUUUAAAGCAAUUAAUCCAUCAUCACACCUUAAUUAAGAAUAUGAAUUAUCUGUAUUUAACAUUGAGACUGCAAAAAAAAAAGAAUGCUUAGUAAACAAUUGAUAAAUGAAAGUUUUUUUAAGAUUUUCAAAAUCACAGAAAAGAAGUUUUUAAUGAAGAUCAGAGAUUAGAAAUAAAAUCUCUUCAUUUUUAACAUCAAAGUUAUAAUAAUCCCAAAACCGUAAUACAUAAUCUUCCUCCAGAAGUGAAUGUUCCAAGCUGGUUCCAGAUGGAAAGUUCCAAGUGCCAGUUUUCAGCUGUCUCCUGUAAGGCCCAACUCAAAAAUCCAUUUAGCUACCUUUAUUCCCCAAUGACAUUCCUGCUUCAUGAAUCUGGAUUAACAGAGGUCAAAAGGCAAAGUGAAGGAGAGGAAAGAUGGAGAGGUAAGAAUGGACUCAGAUAAUUUUGCUUCCCACAAUGUUAAUUCUAUUUGGGUCAACAAAGGAGACUAAUCAAGCACUUUAUUUAUUUAUUUAUUUAUUUUGGCCUUUUUAGAGCCUCCCCCGUGGCAUAUGGAAGUUCCCAGGCUGGGGGUCUAAUCAGGGCUGCAGCUGCCAGCCUAUGCCACACCCACAGCAAUGCCAGAUCCAAGCCACAUCUGCAACCUACAUCACAGCUCACAGCAACACUGGGUCUUUCAUCCACUCAGUGAGGCCUGGAAUCAAACCGGUGUCCUCAUGGAUACCAGUCAGAUUCAUUACACUGAACACAAUGGGAACUCUUAAUCAAGGUCUUUAGUACUAUACGCCACUACGAUUUUGUGGCAAACACCCCAAACUGCUUUUUUUUUCCCAGAGAUAAUCCCUGGGAGAGAGCUACUUCUCUUUAUCAUAGUCACAGCUAUCAAACAGAAAGCACUGGCUUUUAUUUAAAAAGAUGUGUAAGACAUAACGACCUUGUAAAUUUUCAUUGGUCUUUGCACCAGAAAAAAAAUAACUACAGAAGACAAUUUGGGGGACAGUUGUGGACUGGAUAUCAGACGACAUUACACAAUUACUGUUCAUUUUCUUAGGUGUAAAAAGAGGUAGUCGUAGUUUUAUGUAGGACGAUAGUUUUAUUCCUUUCUAAUACGUAAGUAUGAACAUUUUAACUAUUGAUCUCCAAAAGUCUAAUCCCAAACUGCUCUAUUGAAAACCCACAUUAAUUGGGAAGAGUACUAAUAUUCACAGAGUGGUGAAAAUAUGGAGGAUUUCUGUUAUCUUGCAUAUUUGGGAGAGGAAUAGUAUAAAUAUUUAAAUUAGUUAAUAUUAACAUGAAAUACCUAUUAACACUAAAUAGUCUAAAUAACAUUAAAUUAACAUUAAAUUAUACAUAGAUAACUACAGAUUGUCUUGUCAAGUAAACUGAUUUAGAAAGAUGGCCCCCAUACCUGAAUAGUUAAUAGUUAAUUUGCAAUUCUUUAAUCCUUCUAAAUUAGCUGACUAACGGAAAAUUACGGGUUCAUAAUGACAUUACAGUUUAAACACUCCCUUUGUGCUAUGUACUUUUUAUCCCAUUUAAAAAGAAGGGUCUGGUACUUAUUACAGAUGUAAUCUAAAAUAAUCUAUUCCAAACCCAGUAUUCUUUGCCAUUCUAUUAACAGGUGUAGUUGUUCUUUGUCCAUUAAGUACAACUGUUAUGGGAUGAAGCACUGUUUCAAAGUCCUAAGUGAGAUUCCCAAAAGAGCCACACAGGAGUUCUCUUGUGGCAUAGCAGGUUAGGGAUCUGGCAUUGUCACUGCAUUAGCUUAAGUCACUGCUGUGGCAUGGGUUUGAGCCCUGCCCUGGGAAUUUCCACAUGCUUUGAGAGCGGCCUCUCCUCCCACACCUGCCAAAAGUCACCCAAUUUGUGACUGCAGCAGGUAUCAUUUCCUUUGUAUUAAUUUAUUUUUGUGCUUUGGAGUAUUUUUUCUCUCCUUUCUGUCUCUUCUGUCAACACAAUUGCUAUUUGGACAAAAAUAAAAAUAAGGAUUAUAACAUUAAAUUGUUCAUGUACCAAUCUUAUUUACUUAUAGUUUUUAGGUGCUUUUUUUUUUUUACUUCUAUAACUUGCAACUUCAUUUUAUCAUCUCAAAUUUGAAAAUACGGAUCAUUUUAGAUGAUAUAUGCAUGAAGCAACAAAGACUUUACUAAAUAUACCAGCAGUGGAAAAAAAGAGACAGCAUACUUAAUUCAGCUACCAAAGUCAAUUUAACUAAAUCUUGGAAAACAAAAUAAUGUAUGUGUUCAGAAAACAUAUGCAAAUAUGUAAUAUACAACUUAGAAAUACAGAAUACAAAUGCAUCUAGUAAAAAUUAUUUCACAUUGUGAAAUUUAGAAAUUAGGAAAUCCCCAUACUGAGUUUUAAAAAGAAUUUCCUAAAAGCUUUUUCUUCUUCAAUAAGCACAAACAUAGACUGUGAUUUCACUACUUAGCUAAGGUUAGAUAUGUGUCACUCAAACACUUUCAGUUCAAUAAUUAUUAUAUAAAUGACAGCACUGUAUGGCUAUUUAUAGAGUAAGUGAGCAUCUGUACAAAGAAGAAAAAGUAAUUUACAAUCUCUAGGUUGAGGAUUUUCUUUGAACCCUGUGUAUCUUGGUUUUAAAGUAGAACUCUCCUCAACUUAAGUGAGAAAACAUAACUAAUACGCAAAAAAAACCAGAGUCUAACUAAAGAUACUAGCUCUUAAACUUUACAUGAGAAAAUAUUGCCUCAGCAGAAUGGCUCAUUUAACCUGCUUUAUCUGUGUUUUCACUCAACAUAGAUAUAAAUCAUGAUGUAGUUCAGAUAAACGUGUCUCCGUAAGGAAACAAUUUCUUUAAUUUCCUUGGUCUGUUCCCUACUUCCAUCGCUGCACUUUAUCUAUUACAAGUGCUUCUGCAAGCUAUUGUAACUGAUUGUUCAUUUAUCCAUCUACCUCAUUGCACCCCAGAAGACUGAACCAAAUUUUUCAUGACAUCUGAUACAAUCAACUGUACAAUAUGUGAACAAAGAAAAGCUAAAUAAAAUAGGAAAACUUAACUCAUCAAUGCACUGCUUCUGAGUAAAAGAGUAAAAAUAUUUUAAGCUAUUUUGAGAAGUAAGUUAGAAGCUAGAAAGUAAUCUUAUGGUAUCUUGAUAAUUUAAAUACUAUCAUCAAAUCUUCUGUUUUACCUAAGAGAAAUGCAGGAGUAGAAGGAGAAAGCCACAAAUUGCUCGAGGUCAGAAAUGGAAGCAGAAAAACAUGGAGCACAUAAUACGAAAAAUUCUGGACUCUCCACGUGUCUCCAUAUGAAAAAGCUCUUGAUUUUGGUGUGAAAAUGGGGUUUAUCUACAUACAUGAUCACAUGUUUGGGGAGGAGAGGUAAAUAUCGUAACAUGCAAUAUGUGGAAAUAAGUGUAAGAAAAAAGCCUUAUGAAGCACAGGAACUGCUCAUAUUUUUCCAUCUUUUCAUUGCUAGGCUGGAGAAUAUAAAAGAUAACAGUGGUAGCCACUUCAUGACCUCUCAGUCAUAAUAGAACUAAUGAAAGCACAAUGAUCCAAUCUUACUCAGAGAACUUGUCUUGGAUUUUAAAAAGAGCACCACUGGAACAGCUCUCUCAGAAUACGCUCCUAUAAGCUCUUAAAAGUUAUUUGGAAAAUUGUCAAUACAGCUGGAGUUCUUUUCAAUACAGCAGCAGGUCCAAAGAAAUAGUAAAGAUGCUUUAAAAACUGAUAUAAUUCAGAAAAGAUAAUUUAAAAAAUAUUAGGGCAAUUAUGACAUGUUACAAAGAAAUCUAUGGCAGCUAGAAAUGAAUAAGGAGUCCACAGAAUGAUAAUUGGAAAUGCGUUUACAAGAUUAUUCAGUUUUCCCCAGUAGGCGAGUUACUGUCCCUUCUUGCUUCUUAUUGGUACAAAAUUUAUUUCAGGGGCCAGAGAUUCUAAAAGCAUUACACAGUGUGAAGAAUAUAAUGAUUUAAAAAAGGCUAUUAUCAAAAUUAACACUUUAGAUCUACAAGCCCCAGUGAAGCAAGAUCGAGAUUUAGUUAUAUAAAUGAGAGGUGUGCUCCGUCCUAAGAGUAGGUAACAGCUGGAUACUGUGCAGAGGAAUGUGCAUAACAACGGGUGGGAUGUUCAUGAUGCUGAAGGGCGAGAGAGAUGUAUAGCUUGGGAAGUGAUGUGGAUAAUUACUUGUCAUUAAACAGCAGAGUAACUGCUUCAGCAAAUUCCCAUGUAACUUUUCCACAUGAAACUUCAACGUACCCUUGGACUUACUAAGCACACACGGUUGUCUCAGAGGCUCUUAGCAAAAAGAAUCAGCAGUAAAUGAUGCAUCACCCUUGAAAAGAAGAUCACUGUUUUAUUUAUUUGUUCUCUUUUUGUCUUUUUAGGGCCUGCACCUGAGGCAUCUGGAGGUUGCCAGGUGUGGCCCUAAAAAGACAAAAAGACAGGGAGAAAAAAAAAAAGAAUGUAUACAUGUGUGUUUGACUGGGUCACCUUGCUGUAUAGUAGAAAACUGACAGAACACUGUAAACCAGCUAUAAUGGAAAAAAUAAAAAUCAUUAUAAAGUAAAUAAAUAAAUAAAUAAUUUAAAAUAAACAUUAAAUUCCAGCAUGCUCUCACUGGUUCUCCUGCCACCAGGCUUCACAGAGACCAAAAGCAAUUCAGGAGAAAUUACAGAGAAAGAAGAGGCAAGCUAAUGACAGCCCUGAAUGUGAUUUAAUGCCACUGCUAGUAAGUUAAUCCUAUAUGAGAAAAAACUGAACAAUCAAUAUGUGCUGGAAAAGAGCCCUGAGGGAGUUCCUGUUGUGACUCAAUGGGAUAAGAACACAGCAUAUUGCCUGUGAGGAUGUUGGUUUGAUCCCUGGCCUUGCUCAGCAGGUUAAAUAUCUGGCAUUGUCACAAGCUGCAGUGUAGGUCACAGAAGCAGCUGGGAUCUGGUGUUGCUGUGGCUGUGGCACAGACCAGCAGCUGCAGCUCCAAUUCCACCCCUAGCUCAGGAACUUCCAUAUGCUACAGGUGCAGCCCUAUAAAGAAAAUGGGAAAAAAAAAAAAAAAAAAAGAGCACUGACACAGGGAAGGCACCUGAAAAAGUACAUUGAAGAUGACAAGACAACAUCAGAAAGGAUUGCUAUUGGAGGGAGAAGGGAGCUAAAACAGAAGGAAAGGUUUCUUUGGAAAUUAUACACAGAGAAGUAAAGAGGCAAGGGGAAACAGAAUCUCAUAAGACAAAAGAAAAUUUAAAAAUCAAAAGACGCAUGACAUCCAGUAGAGAAACAACACGUUGCCUGCAAUGACAGAACACAGCGCUCUUGAACUAAGAACAUCAGAGUCAUCCCAACUCACUGGAAAAACAAACCAAAAAAAAAAAAAAAAAA